Molecule: long non-coding RNA, 851 nt
Organism: Corapipo altera (White-ruffed manakin)
Lineage: Eukaryota; Metazoa; Chordata; Aves; Passeriformes; Pipridae
Exons: 5
Source: RefSeq, a predicted model, not a curated record
CCCUUCCAGCCCUUCCCGGCGGGCUCGGCUCCCUCAGGGCGGCGCAGGAUCCCCUCGUGUAAAACGCCUGAAUAAUCGUCCUCUCCCAUGGAGAGCUUGUUCCUCUGUGAUAGUCGAGCUGUUGGGAGUGUGGAGAGGCUGAGAAGUGAAUCCACCCGGACUGUCUCCCUUUGACUCUUUAGGAAGAACUUUUUGGAACACUUUAUUUUAUAUAUAUUUAUUUGACAAAGCCCUAAAAUAUUAUAAAUCCAGCGAGUCUCCUCCUCCACAGUUUAUUUAAGUAAAAUAAACCUUUUUAAGGAGAGGAAAUGUCUAAUUUUACUCCUCACUUUUGGCCAGUCUGGACUGUGCUGAUGGAUGAGAGGAGAGGGAGCAGGAAAAUGAAGGAAGAGAAGGAAUAAAACAUGGAAUAAGUGCUGAGGUUUUUCCCAGCAGACACACAGGGAAGGAGCUGAGCUGGGAAACGUGUUGUCAGCGUGACAUGAUCCAUCCAACAUUCCCAAAUAUUCCCAGGUACAAAAUCUUCCUCUUACACCUCACAUUUGGGCAUUAUUCUGUCCAAAGACUGGAGUUUUCUGGGGUGGAUGUUCCGUGAGGGGCUGAAAACCCCCGACUGGAAUGUGUUGGCUUCCUCUCCUGCUUCAAAUCUCUUCUCCAAACUCCAGCAUUCCCUGAUUAAUCUCCAGCCUGGGCUUACUCAGGGAAACCCAGAGCUUUGGAGCCCGUUGGAUUGUCAAACAAAAGCUCAAAUCAACAGCAAGUCCCAAACUCAGCCAGGAAUUAACCCAAGGUCGGUUUGGGUUGAAAGGACCCACUGGAAAGGAAAAAGAAAACAACCUGAAAUUGUGGUU